CAGAUUGCAUUGGUUCGCUAAGCCUGCGAGUCGAGAGGGUUCAGCCCUCGGCUGACGGCUCAGUAACACGUGGAUAAUCUGCCCUAAGGUGGAGGAUAACCUCGGGAAACUGAGAAUAAUACUCCAUAGGUCUAGGAUGCUGGAAUGCACUUAGACUGAAAACUUCGGUGCCUUAGGAUGAGUCUGCGGACUAUCAGGUUGUAGUCAGGGUAAAGACCUGACUAGCCUACGACGGAUACGGGUUGUGAGAGCAAUAACCCGGAGAUGAUAUCUGAGACACGAUAUCAGGCCCUACGGGGCGCAGCAGGCGCGAAAACUUCGCACUGCGCGAAAGCGCGACGAGGGAAUCCCAAGUGUAUGCACGUAAGUGUAUACUGUUUCUCUGUCUAAAAAGCAGAGAGAGUAAGAGCUGGGUAAGACGGGUGCCAGCCGCCGCGGUAAUACCUGCAGCUCGAGUGGUGAUCGUUAUUAUUGGGCCUAAAACGUCCGUAGCCGGUCUUCUAAAUGCCUGGGUAAAUCGUAUGGCUUAACCAUACGAAUUCCGGGUAGACUGUUAGACUUGAGACCGGGAGAAGCUAGAGGUACUCCUGGGGUAGAGGUGAAAUUCUGUAAUCCUAGGGGGACGACCAGUGGCGAAGGCGUCUAGCUAGAACGGGUCUGACGGUGAGGGACGAAGCCCUGGGGCGCAAACGGGAUUAGAUACCCCGGUAGUCCAGGGUGUAAACGCUGCUUGCUUGAUGUUAGUCUGGCUCCGAGCCAGAUUAGUGUCGGAGAGAAGUUGUUAAGCAAGCUGCCUGGGAAGUACGGCCGCAAGACUGAAACUUAAGG
Molecule: ribosomal RNA, 828 nt
Filed under: uncultured archaeon
Lineage: Archaea
Description: bacterial SSU rRNA
Rfam family: Archaeal small subunit ribosomal RNA
Source: RNAcentral